Molecule: ribosomal RNA, 810 nt
Filed under: Planococcus sp. (in: firmicutes)
Lineage: Bacteria; Bacillati; Bacillota; Bacilli; Caryophanales; Caryophanaceae
Description: bacterial SSU rRNA
Rfam family: Bacterial small subunit ribosomal RNA
Source: RNAcentral
GAUGAGGAAAGUGGACUUCCCACGUGUAGCGCUGAAAUGCGUAGAGAUGUGGAGGAACACCAGUGGCGAAGGCGACUUUCUCGCUCUGUAACUGACGCUGAGGCGCGAAAGCGUGGGGAGCAAACAGGAUUAGAUACCCUGGUAGUCCACGCCGUAAACGAUGAGUGUUAAGUGUUAGGGGGUUUCCGCCCCUUAGUGCUGCAGCUAACGCAUUAAGCAUUCCGCCUGGGGAGUACGGCCGCAAGGCUGAAACUCAAAGGAAUUGACGGGGGCCCGCACAAGCGGUGGAGCAUGUGGUUUAAUUGGAAGCAACGCGAAGAACCUUACCAGGUCUUGACAUCCCGCUGCCCGCCUUGGAGACAAGGCUUUCCCUUCGGGGACAGCGGUGACAGGUGGUGCAUGGUUGUCGUCAGCUCGUGUCGUGAGAUGUUGGGUUAAGUCCCGCAACGAGCGCAACCCUUGAUCUUAGUUGCCAGCAUUCAGUUGGGCACUUUAAGGUGACUGCCGGUGACAAACCGGAGGAAGGUGGGGAUGACGUCAAAUCAUCAUGCCCCUUAUGACCUGGGUUACACACGUGUUACAAUGGACGGUACAAAGGGCAGCCAACCCGCGAGGGGGAGCCAAUCCCAGAAAACCGUUUUCAGUUCGGAUUGCAGGUUGCAAUUCGCCUCCAGGAAGCCGGAAUCGUUAGUAAUCGUGGAUCACCAUGCCACGGUGAAUACGUUCCCGGCCCUUGUACACACCGCCCGUCACACCACGAGAGUUUGUAACACCCGAAGUCGGUGGGGUAACCCUAAGUGGAAGCCCAGC